This is a long non-coding RNA of Clarias gariepinus (North African catfish), 4123 nucleotides long. RefSeq lists it as uncharacterized. The transcript has 4 exons. NCBI's taxonomy places the organism in Eukaryota, Metazoa, Chordata, Actinopteri, Siluriformes, Clariidae. The record is from RefSeq and is a predicted model, not a curated record.
GAAUAAUGUUCCAUUUUACUGGCAAUUAUUAUAAUAAUCAACCUUUUCAAAAUCAAGACUUUUAGUAGGUGAAUAACAGGCUAAUGCAGGAAGAGUCUCGAUGCACUGACCCCUCAGGGAAGAGAUGAGAAGGCUGAGAUUCCCCUACAAGCUGUCCCAGCCCUCUAAAAGCUUUUCUUCCUCUUAAUGAAGGACACUGCGGUAAAACCUCAGCAGAGUAAGUCUGCGCGUGCCAGCAUCAUGUGAGCCAGCAAACAGGAUGAAAAUAAGAGAAAAAGAGGCAUUGAAAAUGUCGACAAGGGUUUGAGGGAGUCCUGAGUGGGAGCGCAAGUUAGUGGUGUAUAAAGCCACUUUAGCGCAUCAGCACCAUGGAGAGCACCAGCGCGCGCCCUGCCAACUGCGCGCGCACUCCCACAACUCUUUAUUAGAACCGGUUAUGACGCGUCAAAACUAAUGCACACACACACACACACACACUGCGUUACGAUUCAGUAUAAACAUCUUGCCAGGACCAAGUAUAGGGGAGCUCACUUUAUGCCUGUAUUUAGGUUGGUAGGCCUUCUGUUACACAGCUUGUUAAUCUCUAGAACACUGCUAAUUUAUCAGCACGCACACACUCAGUGCCUUUGAAAUCGUAUACGAUAUAAUCCCUUUUCCUUUUUCACUUAUGUCACUAUUACCUUAUAUAAAACAAGAAGAUAGUGAACUCGCUAGCCGCAUCAGUAUCGUGAACGUAAUAGUGGCAUAAGUGAAAAAGGUAAAGGGACUGAGGGACUGAGGGACUUACAAAGGCACUGAUCAUGUGUAUGCGUGCUGAUAAAUUAGCAGUGUUCUGUGUGUGUGGGUGUAUAUAUAUAUAUAACUAUUGUAGCCUAAAUAUAAUGCAGUCGAUGGUCAUUCGAAGUAUAUUUUAUCACACAGGGUUAGGCGUGAUUUUGAAUUAAAAUACCGCUUCGUUGCUUUUUUUCUAUUAAUUUAUAUAUUUAAAUUGCGUCCCUAUGUAUAGGGGGAAGGUUGUUGAUAAAUCCAUGCUAUAUAUCGUUUAGCAGUAUAUAGUCUAACCUCUUCAUUUUCUCAACGCAAACGCCUUAGAUGUUGUCUAUAGGUCGUAUACUGGAUUUUGAAAGGGUAACGGUACCCUUUCAAAAUUUGAUGAUUAGUCGUGUUUCAGGUGUACUGAUCUCCAUGGGUGGGCUCAUUACAGGGACAUAAUUUAUUGUUUAGCAAUGUUUCAUAAAGGGAGCCCUAAUUUAGUACAUAAAAAAAACUUUCUUCCUGUGCAUUCAAAUUGCUGUUUAAGGUGUUUUUAGUUUGAUGGAUUUAUUACAUCCUGACCUGUACAUGGAGAUGGAGUACAUGGAGCACUUUUAAUGCAGUUUACACAGCACGUCUGUACUUAGUUUUAGCUAAAAUGUUGUAUGGGUAAAUAUAGAUUAUGUGUAGCGUAUAUAGGUUUAAAGGUUUGUAAAUGCGCAUUGACUGCAAAAUAAGAUGUCUAUAUAAAGCCCUUGCUAAAAUGUAACAACUGAUUUCGACGUAUUAUUGAAAUAGUAUUUCAAUACUAAAUGUAAGAAUGUCUAAAGUUUAUUAGGCUAACUAGCAGAUUGAAUAGCCGCUAAUUGACUUACUGUAUACAUUCAUUUAUUCCUAUAAAAACUGAUACGGCUCGUGCGCAAUAUGGGUUACCAAGCGACCAACGGCGCUCGCCUGCCACGUGCGUUCAGUCUUUAGAUCACACGCACGCAGAUUGGAGCGCCGCUCUGGCUCACGUGACCUCAUAUAGCGUCCGUGUCGGCGCGCGGCAGGAAAAGCGCUGGGACAGCGGCAUGCAGGCUACAGGUUCAGGUUUAGUUCGCAAAAUAGACUAAAUCAUCGAAACGCGUGUGAAUCCGCGCCAUGUGGGUCAGGGAAACACCAAGGAGGAAAUAAUGCCGCUGAGAAUUAAGAUGUAUUCAUUUAGGGAGACAUUUUUUUCUUUCUUUUCAAUUUAAUGUAAUCCAGUCAUAAUUUUUUCCGUUCUUAUCUGUCACAGUGUUUGUGUAAAGUUAAAAUAUUCACAUGUAACAGAAAAAAAACUUGUAAACAUUAAGCGGAUAAGAUUAAGCCUUUUGAAACAAGUGACUGUUCUAACUUUUCUGUGAAAGUAUUAUUUUCCAAUUUUUUUUUUUUUUAUCCUGAAAUUUGAUUGACAUUAUUUUCCAGGGCUGAACUAAUUUCACCUUUCCACUAAUAAUCGCUGAUUUCAACCUGCCUUUUGAUCCUGUCUUAGAAAAUGUGCGCUGGGAAUUUAAUCAUAACAACACACUUUAGACACUUCUUUAAGUUCAGAUGUUACAGAAAUGCUAUGCGAUUUCUAUACAGUCUAUUGUAAUUACCCAGAAAAAACUAAAUGGUUUAUAUGGUUUAUUUUGCCGAUCGUUGCAUGUAGAUUUCAUUUCUCUGGCUAAAAUUUACGGUGUUCACAAAAAUUACCCCCCUCCUCUUCUCCCUAAUAAUUUACAUUAAUUCCCAGUGUAAUUUAUGCUUCUGUAGCACACUCGUGAAAAGGAGUGGGAGGCUGAGAGGCAAAGCUUGAUAUAGAUAUCAGCAAAUAAACGACCCGCUUUACUUAAAUUCACUUCAAAUUAUACUGCGUUCAGUCGCAAUGAUUUUUAUUUACGUUUUUUAAUUAUUGUUAUAUUAUUUUUCUUAUGUCAUUUCUCAAAAUCCGCAUUGUUAAGUCUACGCAGCAUGCGCACUGAGAAAACUUAAUUGAAAGGUGUACAAUUGGCUAAGAUAUGGAAUGAACACAAAAACCUGCAAGUGAAUGUUAAAAGGAAAAGCGACUUACAGAAAUAUUAACUUAUAACAUCUAUGCAUUUCAAUGUAGCUUUGAUAUGAAGUCGCACAUUAUUUUGUACUGUCCUUGUAUAUGGUCGCAGAUGUUUUUAAUCUAGACUUUCUCAUGUAGCCUAGAUUGUGGAAAUACGAAAAUGCGCAAUUUAUAAUGUAGAUGAAUUUUCCAUGCAGCUACAUUAAAAAAAGAAAAAAAAUCUAAAUUGCAGGCACAUCUUCUGGGCCAUCUUUCUGUGCUAAAGAGCACACUGGGCUAAAACUGUAUCUCAGCUAGGAUUCAAAUCAGAGCCAGUCUCUGAUAGAUCAGCUUUCUCAGCUUGUCUCGCCUCCGGCUGAUUUUACUACACUGAUCUUUUUUUAAACAGUCACAUUUACAUGUUAAUGUCCUUCAGUGGAGGCUGCCUUAAACAUCCUCCUCUGGGAGAACAAAUAAAUAAAUAAAUAAAUAAAUCACAGAAAGAAAGACACAUGCCGGCGUGACGAGGACGCGUUUAAACAUCUAUUUGUUUUACGUGCAAAUAAUCGUCAAUUACAUUUGACAAAAGGGCAAACGCAAAACCUGUUUUUAAUCAACAAUUUCUUCUAAAUACGCCAAAAAUUUUUUUAGUUAUUUAUCUGAAUAAGCAAAUUCAGGAAACAUAAUUAACUACACAAAACAUAAUGAAAUAAAAUCGAACUUUCAUUAUGUGUCUUAUUUUAUAUUGCAUUCACACUGUCAGUUAAUUCAAUCAUUCUUGGAGCCAAUAAUCCGACGCUAUAAGGUUUUUAUCAUGUUAAGCCAAAAGAAUAAUAAUUAGGACAAAAACAAUGCAGCCGAAUUGUUUACCCCGUGCGACAACCCCAGUGGCAUCACUUUGAUUACGUCGCAUACACUAACAACAGACAAAGCUCUAAAGAGUGCGUAAUGUCAGAUUUUGAAGUCUAGAAGUGUGGACAUCAGUGUGUGCUGACCUCUAUUCAGUUUGAGGUCUAUCUGGGCAUGUUUUACACCAGGGCGCUUUGCUGGGAGAUCAGAGCUGCGAAACAGGUGCACACACACACACACACACACACACACACUUCUCCCAGGAGACUUCUGGACAAUUGUUCUCUUUAAUAAAUAUUGGCCCGAGGGGACACUGCUUAGACGCACAGCACUUUGAUUUCAAUAGCCGUUGUAUUAUACUAUAUAUUUAGGAUGUGUUGUAUAUAUUCACUCAAGCUGCUGCUUAUAGAUUUUCUUAUAGAUCUUUUGUGUUUAUUAUUUAGUUUUUAUCCCCCUCCCAGAACUGCUUUACCACUUUUUUUU